This 88-nucleotide microRNA precursor is filed under the name Canis lupus dingo (dingo). RNAcentral's name for it is "mir-8799 microRNA precursor family". It matches the Rfam family "mir-8799 microRNA precursor family". The record is from Rfam by way of RNAcentral. Lineage: Eukaryota; Metazoa; Chordata; Mammalia; Carnivora; Canidae.
GGGAGCGCAGGAUCCUGGGCUGUGUCCCCCGGUGCCCUGGGCUCCGGGGCCUGCGCUGCUGGAAUCGCGCUCCCAGGCUGCAGCUCCA